UGACUUGUACACAUAUGUUGGAGCCUUGUGCUCAUAAGAUGGUGGUGGAGGUGAUUUAUACUCAUAGGGUGGUGGGGGUGAUGGUGAAGGAGGUGGGGGAGACUUAUAUUCAUAAGAUGGAGACUUGUGCUCAUAGGGUGGAGGUGGUGGAGAUUUGUAAAUGUAAGAUGGUGGAGGUGACGGUGAGGGAGGCGGUGGUGACUUGUAAAUGUAAGGUGGUGGUGGUGAUGGUGAUGGUGGUGGGGGUGACUUGUACUGGUAAGAUGGAGCCUUGUGCUCAUAUGGUGGUGGAGGUGACGGUGAUGGAGGUGGUGGUGACUUGUAAAUGUAAGGUGGUGGAGGUGAUGGUGAUGGAGGUGGGGGUGACUUGUACUGGUAAGAUGGUGCCUUGUGCUCAUAUGGAGGCGGUGGUGACGGUGAUGGAGGCGGUGGUGACUUGUACACAUAAGGUGGUGGAG
This 458-nucleotide long non-coding RNA is filed under the name Medicago truncatula (barrel medic). Its description in RNAcentral is "long non-coding RNA (MTRU_LNC006770)". Lineage: Eukaryota; Viridiplantae; Streptophyta; Magnoliopsida; Fabales; Fabaceae. The record is from RNAcentral.